GUCAGGAUGGCCGAGCGGUCCAAGGCACUGCGUUAAGGUCAAGUGUUUUCCUUUAGAACUAAUGUCUGAAACAGUCUCCACUGGAGUCAGGUGGGUUCAAAUCCCACUUCUGACA
Molecule: transfer RNA, 115 nt
Filed under: Perca flavescens (yellow perch)
Lineage: Eukaryota; Metazoa; Chordata; Actinopteri; Perciformes; Percidae
Rfam family: tRNA
About the family: Transfer RNA (tRNA) molecules are approximately 80 nucleotides in length. Their secondary structure includes four short double-helical elements and three loops (D, anti-codon, and T loops). Further hydrogen bonds mediate the characteristic L-shaped molecular structure. tRNAs have two regions of fundamental functional importance: the anti-codon, which is responsible for specific mRNA codon recognition, and the 3' end, to which the tRNAs corresponding amino acid is attached (by aminoacyl-tRNA synthetases). tRNAs cope with the degeneracy of the genetic code in two manners: having more than one tRNA (with a specific anti-codon) for a particular amino acid; and 'wobble' base-pairing, i.e. permitting non-standard base-pairing at the 3rd anti-codon position.
Source: Rfam by way of RNAcentral